RNAcentral lists this ribosomal RNA (266 nucleotides) under uncultured prokaryote. RNAcentral describes it as "partial 16S ribosomal RNA". It matches the Rfam family "Bacterial small subunit ribosomal RNA", at positions 524 to 789 of the family's 1533-position model. The record is from RNAcentral.
UACGGAGGGUGCAAGCGUUAAUCGGAAUUACUGGGCGUAAAGCGCACGCAGGCGGUCGGAUGAGUCGGAUGUGAAAGCCCUGGGCUUAACCUGGGAACUGCAUUCGAUACUGUCUGGCUAGAGUAUGGGAGAGGGAAGCGGAAUUUCCGGUGUAGCGGUGAAAUGCGUAGAUAUCGGAAGGAACAUCAAUGGCGAAGGCAGCUUCCUGGCCCAAUACUGACGCUCAGGUGCGAAAGCGUGGGGAUCAAACAGGAUUAGAAACCCGA